RNAcentral lists this ribosomal RNA (240 nucleotides) under uncultured bacterium. Its description in RNAcentral is "partial 16S ribosomal RNA". It matches the Rfam family "Bacterial small subunit ribosomal RNA", at positions 15 to 244 of the family's 1533-position model. The record is from RNAcentral.
GAUCCUGGCUCAGGAUGAACGCUAGCUACAGGCUUAACACAUGCAAGUCGAGGGGAAACGACAUCGAAAGCUUGCUUUUGAUGGGCGUCGGCCGGCGCACGGGUGAGUAACGCGUAUCCAACCUGCCCAUCACUUGGGGAUAACCUUGCGAAAGUAAGACUAAUACCCAAUGAUAUCCCACGAAGGCAUCCGAAUGGGAUUAAAGAUUUAUCGGUGAUGGAUGGGGAUGCGUCUGAUUAG